Molecule: ribosomal RNA, 468 nt
Filed under: uncultured bacterium
Lineage: Bacteria
Description: partial 16S ribosomal RNA
Rfam family: Bacterial small subunit ribosomal RNA
Source: RNAcentral
GACGAACGCUGGCGGCGUGCUUAACACAUGCAAGUCGAACGGAAAGGCCCUGCUUUUGUGGGGUGCUAGAGUGGCGAACGGGUGAGUAACACGUGAGUAACCUGCCCUUGACUGUGGGAUAACUUCAGGAAACUGGGGCUAAUACAGGCUAGGAGCUCCUGCUGCCUGGUGGGGGUUGGACAGUUUCGGCGGGUGGGGAUGGACUCGCGGCUUAUCAGCUUGUUGGUGGGGUAGUGGCUUACCAAGGCUUUGACGGGUAGUCGGCCUGAGAGGGUGACCGGCCACAUUGGGACUGAGAUACGGCCCAGACGCCUACGGGGGGCAGCAGUGGGGAAUAUUGCACAAUGGGCGGGAGCCUGAGGCAGCGGCGCCGCGUGCGGGAUGACGGCCUUCGAGUUGUGAACCGCUUUCGCCUGUGACGGAGCGUGAGUGACGGUAAUGGGUGAAGAAGCACCGGCUAACUACGUG